RNAcentral lists this ribosomal RNA (348 nucleotides) under Enterococcus faecalis. RNAcentral's name for it is "partial 23S ribosomal RNA". It matches the Rfam family "Bacterial large subunit ribosomal RNA", at positions 1302 to 1645 of the family's 2925-position model. The record is from RNAcentral. Lineage: Bacteria; Bacillati; Bacillota; Bacilli; Lactobacillales; Enterococcaceae.
UAUGAGUAGCGAAAGACAGGUGAGAAUCCUGUCCACCGUAUGACUAAGGUUUCCUGGGGAAGGCUCGUCCGCCCAGGGUUAGUCGGGACCUAAGCCGAGGCCGAUAGGCGUAGGCGAUGGACAACAGGUUGAUAUUCCUGUACCAGUUGUUUUUGUUUGAGCAAUGGAGGGACGCAGUAGGCUAAGGAAUGCAUGCGAUUGGAAGUGCAUGUCCAAGCAAUGAGUCUUGAGUAGAGUUAAAUGCUUUACUCUCUAAGGACAAGUUGUGACGGGGAGCGAAAUAAUAGUAGCGAAGUUCCUGAUGUCACACUGCCAAGAAAAGCUUCUAGUGAGAAAACAACUGCCCGU